CACUCCUGCGGGAGGCAGCAGUGGGGAAUUUUGGACAAUGGGCGAAAGCCUGAUCCAGCAAUGCCGCGUGCAGGAUGAAGGCCUUCGGGUUGUAAACUGCUUUUGUACGGAACGAAAAAGCUCCUUCUAAUACAGGGGGCCCAUGACGGUACCGUAAGAAUAAGCACCGGCUAACUACGUGCCAGCAGCCGCGGUAAUACGUAGGGUGCGAGCGUUAAUCGGAAUUACUGGGCGUAAAGCGUGCGCAGGCGGUUAUGUAAGACAGAUGUGAAAUCCCCGGGCUCAACCUGGGAACUGCAUUUGUGACUGCAUGGCUAGAGUACGGUAGAGGGGGAUGGAAUUCCGCGUGUAGCAGUGAAAUGCGUAGAUAUGCGGAGGAACACCGAUGGCGAAGGCAAUCCCCUGGACCUGUACUGACGCUCAUGCACGAAAGCGUGGGGAGCAAACAGGAUUAGAAACCCGAGUAGUCCCA
RNAcentral lists this ribosomal RNA (472 nucleotides) under uncultured organism. RNAcentral's name for it is "partial 16S ribosomal RNA". It matches the Rfam family "Bacterial small subunit ribosomal RNA", at positions 334 to 797 of the family's 1533-position model. The record is from RNAcentral.